RNAcentral lists this ribosomal RNA (405 nucleotides) under uncultured bacterium. RNAcentral describes it as "bacterial SSU rRNA". It matches the Rfam family "Bacterial small subunit ribosomal RNA", at positions 30 to 434 of the family's 1533-position model. The record is from RNAcentral.
AUUGAACGCUGGCGGCAUGCCUUACACAUGCAAGUCGAACGGUAACGGGCCUUCGGGUGCCGACGAGUGGCGAACGGGUGAGUAAUGUAUCGGAACGUACCUUUCAGUGGGGGAUAACGUAGCGAAAGUUACGCUAAUACCGCAUAUUCUGUGAGCAGGAAAGCAGGGGAUCGCAAGACCUUGCGCUGAUUGAGCGGCCGAUAUCAGAUUAGCUAGUUGGUGAGGUAAAGGCUCACCAAGGCGACGAUCUGUAGCGGGUCUGAGAGGAUGAUCCGCCACACUGGAACUGAGACACGGUCCAGACUCCUACGGGAGGCAGCAGUGGGGAAUUUUGGACAAAUGGGGGGCAACCCUGAUCCAGCCAUGCCGCGUGAGUGAAGAAGGCCUUCGGGUUGUAAAGGUACU